GUCGAGGAUUUUUCUCAAUGGGGGAAACCCUGAAGGAGCGACGCCGCGUGGGGGAUGAAGGUCUUCGGAUUGUAAACCCCUGUCAUCUGGGAACAAUGUGCGCCACCUAACACGUGGCGCAUUGAUAGUACCGGAAGAGGAAGCCGUGGCUAACUCUGUGCCAGCAGCCGCGGUAAUACAGAGACGGCAAGCGUUGCUCGGAUUCAUUGGGCGUAAAGGGUGCGUAGGCGGUCGGUUAAGUCGGAUGUGAAAUCUCACAGCCUAACUGUGAGCGGUCAUUCGAAACUAACCGGCUCGAGGGCUGGAGAGGAGACUGGAAUGGUCGGUGUAGCGGUGAAAUGCGUAGAGAUCGACCAGAACACCUGUGGCGAAGGCGGGUCUCUGGACAGUUCCUGACGCUGAGGCACGAAAGCCAGGGGAGCAAACGGGAUUAGAAACCCCAGUAGUCC
This 449-nucleotide ribosomal RNA is filed under the name uncultured bacterium. RNAcentral describes it as "bacterial SSU rRNA". It matches the Rfam family "Bacterial small subunit ribosomal RNA", at positions 354 to 796 of the family's 1533-position model. The record is from RNAcentral.